RNAcentral lists this ribosomal RNA (442 nucleotides) under Fallicambarus danielae. RNAcentral's name for it is "partial 16S ribosomal RNA". The stretch from base 80 to 442 matches the Rfam family "Bacterial large subunit ribosomal RNA", at positions 2048 to 2625 of the family's 2925-position model. The record is from RNAcentral. Lineage: Eukaryota; Metazoa; Arthropoda; Malacostraca; Decapoda; Cambaridae.
AUUAGUUUUUUAAUUGAAGGCUGGAAUGAAAGGUUGGUCAAGAGAUAGUCUGUCUUAAAAAAAAAUAUUGAAUUUAACUUUUAAGUGAAAAGGCUUAAAUGAUUUGAAGGGACGAUAAGACCCUAUAAAACUUUAUAUUUAAGGAUAUAGACUAUUUUUAUUUGUGAACUAUUAUCAAAAGUAUUUGGUUGGGGUGACAGGGAUAGAAUAUAAAGUAACUGUCCUUUUUUUUAACAAUAAUAUUUGACUUAGCGAUCCCUGGGAAGGAUUAAAGAUUAAGUUACUUUAGGGAUAACAGCGUGAUUUUCUUUGAGAGUUCUUAUCGACGGGAGAGUUUGCGACCUCGAUGUUGAAUUAAAGGUUCUUUAUGGAGUAGAGACUAUAAUAGAAGGUCUGUUCGACCUUUAAAAUUUUACAUGAUUUGAGUUCAGACCGGUGUGAG